Molecule: ribosomal RNA, 255 nt
Filed under: uncultured euryarchaeote
Lineage: Archaea; Methanobacteriati; Methanobacteriota
Description: partial 16S ribosomal RNA
Rfam family: Archaeal small subunit ribosomal RNA
Source: RNAcentral
CGCGAAAACUCUACGAAUGCACGCAAGUGUGAUAGGGCAACCCCUCGUGCUCAACUAACGUUGGGCUUUUAAUAUGUGUAAUGUACAUAAUGAAUAAGUGGUGGGCAAGACCGGUGCCAGCAGCCGCGGUAAUACCGGCGCCACGAGUGGAGUUCACUAUUAUUGGGUCUAAAAGUGUCCGUAGCUGGUUUAUUAAGUCUCUUGUGAAAUUUCUGUUGCUUAACUCAGAAACUGCAAGAGAUACUGGUAAAACUC